Molecule: ribosomal RNA, 230 nt
Filed under: uncultured bacterium
Lineage: Bacteria
Description: partial 16S ribosomal RNA
Rfam family: Bacterial small subunit ribosomal RNA
Source: RNAcentral
UACGAAGGGGGCUAGCGUUGCUCGGAAUCACUGGGCGUAAAGCGCACGUAGGCGGAUCUUUAAGUCAGGGGUGAAAUCCUGGAGCUCAACUCCAGAACUGCCUUUGAUACUGGGGAUCUCGAGUCCGGGGAGAGGUGAGUGGAACUCCGAGUGUAGAGGUGAAAUUCGUAGAUAUUCGGAAGAACACCAGUGGCGAAGGCGGCUCACUGGCCCGGUACUGACGCUGAGGU